UUACAGUUAUUCAUUUCACCAUGUAGCUCUGACUUAUUUGAGUUUGAUACUUUUUCUUUGGCAAGACCAAUUCUGCCCAAAGGAAAGAAAGUUCAGUCCAGGCUUAGAAACAUCAACAACAGAAAUCAUUCUGCCUUCUCUUGGAAUACCAAGAUAAAAGUACAAUUAUUUGUGAUUCACUUUGGAGGCUCCUCUGACUUCCAUGGCUUCCCAAGGCAUACCACUAAUCAAGAAGAAACAAUGAGGAGAUUGGAUAACUUUGCUUUAAUUAACAGAUGUAAUAAGUCACACUUUUAUUGUCUUCAAGAAUUUUUGACAUGGUAGUUUUCUAAAAAUGAUCACUAAUGACUUAUGGUUGCACCUGCCAAUUUCUGAAAUGUCCUUAGAUAUAAAUGAGCAAGCUUGCUUACUGAAUACAUCUUUCAUUAAAAAAUACCAAAUAUUUCUUUUCAUUUUCCCAUUCAGCCUUUGCUCCUUUUAGCUGAUUAUAUAUCUAAUCUUCUUUGAAAAGAAAAAAACAAAUAAAGCAAUCAAAAAAUAAAUGGUUUUUCUUUUC
Molecule: long non-coding RNA, 556 nt
Filed under: Monodelphis domestica (gray short-tailed opossum)
Lineage: Eukaryota; Metazoa; Chordata; Mammalia; Didelphimorphia; Didelphidae
Description: lncRNA (ENSMODG00000041543.1)
Source: RNAcentral